This 253-nucleotide ribosomal RNA is filed under the name uncultured bacterium. RNAcentral describes it as "partial 16S ribosomal RNA". It matches the Rfam family "Bacterial small subunit ribosomal RNA", at positions 524 to 776 of the family's 1533-position model. The record is from RNAcentral.
UACGUAGGGUGCGAGCGUUGUCCGGAAUUAUUGGGCGUAAAGAGCUUGUAGGCGGUCUGUCGCGUCUGCUGUGAAAUUUCGGGGCUCAACCCCGAACUUGCAGUGGGUACGGGCAGACUAGAGUGUGGUAGGGGAGACUGGAAUUCCUGGUGUAGCGGUGAAAUGCGCAGAUAUCAGGAGGAACACCGAUGGCGAAGGCAGGUCUCUGGGCCACUACUGACGCUGAGAAGCGAAAGCAUGGGGAGCGAACAGG